AACCUUAUGGACCUGCGGGCGUAUACCUGCGGAGGGAUCAUUAUCGAGUUAGGGUUCCUCUCACGGGCCCGAUCUCCCAACCCUGUGUCUACCACACCUUGUCGUUGCUUCGGCGGACCGGUCCUUCGACCGCCGGGGGUGCUUUGGCCCCCUGGAGCGCGUCCGCCGAUGGCCCAACCACACAAACUCUUGGUACCAAACCCUGUCGUCUGAAGCACUUGAUAUAUAAUCAACACAAAA
RNAcentral lists this unclassified non-coding RNA (240 nucleotides) under soil metagenome. Its description in RNAcentral is "partial contains 5.8S ribosomal RNA, internal transcribed spacer 2, and large subunit ribosomal RNA". The record is from RNAcentral.